Molecule: long non-coding RNA, 268 nt
Organism: Eufriesea mexicana
Lineage: Eukaryota; Metazoa; Arthropoda; Insecta; Hymenoptera; Apidae
Exons: 3
Source: RefSeq, a predicted model, not a curated record
CUCGUUUUCUUUAUCACAGGAGUCAAGUCGCUUCGAGACGAGUCUAGGAAUGCAGAUUACCUUUUGCCUCUGUUGUGGAAAGGUGAAUGGUUUGGGGAACGAAUGAAUUCCACUUCCAAUAUCUUUCACGAACACGAAGAGGAAGAUAAAAGAGAAUAGUCGAGCAAAACGUGCAGGGGAUACGAAUGUCGCCUUCGAAAUAUCCAAAAUGACGGAGAAGAGUAAAGCUUGUACCGAAUUUACUACAAGACCGCAAUCAGCUGAUGUU